RNAcentral lists this long non-coding RNA (414 nucleotides) under Mytilus galloprovincialis (Mediterranean mussel). The record is from RNAcentral. Lineage: Eukaryota; Metazoa; Mollusca; Bivalvia; Mytilida; Mytilidae.
GUCAAAUAAUAGAAUUCAGAGACACAGAAACUGUUUGUAUGUCAUAGGAAUUCACCAUUUUGCUAUAUGUCGGUUUGGUAGUUUGAUAUCAUAUACAAUAAUGAAAUUUAAUCAAUAUGAAUUAAAUUUAUUUAUUGAAUUGAUAAGACUUGGAUUUGUCUCCCUUUUUAUGUUUUGAUUGUUGCAAGCGACACUAAAACCGGUUGUAUAAUACAAAUUUUUUCUGUUCAUAAGCGAUACGCAAUUAUCUCGUGCAUUUAUAGGCGGGAAUUUCAAUAUAAAACCAGUUGUUUCGGUAAUGUUAUUUCAUUCUUUAACAAACUGUAGACGGGUGCAAGGACAAAAACCCACCACACCCUACCCCAAUUAAAUAUUUGUUUGCUGCCGUUAUGAUUUAUAAUUACAGAUUUUGUA